This 1562-nucleotide ribosomal RNA is filed under the name Escherichia coli. Its description in RNAcentral is "partial 23S ribosomal RNA". It matches the Rfam family "Bacterial large subunit ribosomal RNA", at positions 1261 to 2808 of the family's 2925-position model. The record is from RNAcentral. Lineage: Bacteria; Pseudomonadati; Pseudomonadota; Gammaproteobacteria; Enterobacterales; Enterobacteriaceae.
CUGUGAGGCAUGCUGGAGGUAUCAGAAGUGCGAAUGCUGACAUAAGUAACGAUAAAGCGGGUGAAAAGCCCGCUCGCCGGAAGACCAAGGGUUCCUGUCCAACGUUAAUCGGGGCAGGGUGAGUCGACCCCUAAGGCGAGGCCGAAAGGCGUAGUCGAUGGGAAACAGGUUAAUAUUCCUGUACUUGGUGUUACUGCGAAGGGGGGACGGAGAAGGCUAUGUUGGCCGGGCGACGGUUGUCCCGGUUUAAGCGUGUAGGCUGGUUUUCCAGGCAAAUCCGGAAAAUCAAGGCUGAGGCGUGAUGACGAGGCACUACGGUGCUGAAGCAACAAAUGCCCUGCUUCCAGGAAAAGCCUCUAAGCAUCAGGUAACAUCAAAUCGUACCCCAAACCGACACAGGUGGUCAGGUAGAGAAUACCAAGGCGCUUGAGAGAACUCGGGUGAAGGAACUAGGCAAAAUGGUGCCGUAACUUCGGGAGAAGGCACGCUGAUAUGUAGGUGAAGUCCCUCGCGGAUGGAGCUGAAAUCAGUCGAAGAUACCAGCUGGCUGCAACUGUUUAUUAAAAACACAGCACUGUGCAAACACGAAAGUGGACGUAUACGGUGUGACGCCUGCCCGGUGCCGGAAGGUUAAUUGAUGGGGUCAGCGCAAGCGAAGCUCUUGAUCGAAGCCCCGGUAAACGGCGGCCGUAACUAUAACGGUCCUAAGGUAGCGAAAUUCCUUGUCGGGUAAGUUCCGACCUGCACGAAUGGCGUAAUGAUGGCCAGGCUGUCUCCACCCGAGACUCAGUGAAAUUGAACUCGCUGUGAAGAUGCAGUGUACCCGCGGCAAGACGGAAAGACCCCGUGAACCUUUACUAUAGCUUGACACUGAACAUUGAGCCUUGAUGUGUAGGAUAGGUGGGAGGCUUUGAAGUGUGGACGCCAGUCUGCAUGGAGCCGACCUUGAAAUACCACCCUUUAAUGUUUGAUGUUCUAACGUGGACCCGUGAUCCGGGUUGCGGACAGUGUCUGGUGGGUAGUUUGACUGGGGCGGUCUCCUCCUAAAGAGUAACGGAGGAGCACGAAGGUUGGCUAAUCCUGGUCGGACAUCAGGAGGUUAGUGCAAUGGCAUAAGCCAGCUUGACUGCGAGCGUGACGGCGCGAGCAGGUGCGAAAGCAGGUCAUAGUGAUCCGGUGGUUCUGAAUGGAAGGGCCAUCGCUCAACGGAUAAAAGGUACUCCGGGGAUAACAGGCUGAUACCGCCCAAGAGUUCAUAUCGACGGCGGUGUUUGGCACCUCGAUGUCGGCUCAUCACAUCCUGGGGCUGAAGUAGGUCCCAAGGGUAUGGCUGUUCGCCAUUUAAAGUGGUACGCGAGCUGGGUUUAGAACGUCGUGAGACAGUUCGGUCCCUAUCUGCCGUGGGCGCUGGAGAACUGAGGGGGGCUGCUCCUAGUACGAGAGGACCGGAGUGGACGCAUCACUGGUGUUCGGGUUGUCAUGCCAAUGGCACUGCCCGGUAGCUAAAUGCGGAAGAGAUAAGUGCUGAAAGCAUCUAAGCACGAAACUUGCCCCGAGAUGAG